AGGUACCAGUCUUGUAUUACAACUCCAGUUUCCGGUGCAUGUCAAAACAUGGAGGGAAACAAAAUAGUCCAUUUUUUUCUGAAUUUUUUUCUGGACUCAAUUUUUUCUGUUUGAUUAUAGGUUUAUGCUGAAUUGAAACAUAUAUAUAGAUUUUUAAAAAAUCUUGCAUCUUAUUGGGAUAUCAAUCCAGGAAAGUGGAAGGAUAUCAUGUUUACUGGAAGUGGUGCGGCCCAGUAAAAACAGCAAACAGAAAGUAGAAAAAAAAAUGUUUUGACUUCAGGGUUAGGUAACUUUUUAUUCUUCGUGGCAAGACCCACUUUUUUUUCGAUUAAAUCACAAUUUCACAUUAGUACAUACAUGAUAUGAACAUGAAAAAAAAUUUCUAUGUAGAAUUUUAUUUUUUUUUAUUUUCAAAGAUGAGCUGUUUUGCAUGUAAGCCUAUGGAGCAGUCAAUUACAAGACUGCAACCUGCAUAGGGUAAUUUUUUCAUAUGUUCACUGCAAG
RNAcentral lists this long non-coding RNA (504 nucleotides) under Mytilus galloprovincialis (Mediterranean mussel). Lineage: Eukaryota; Metazoa; Mollusca; Bivalvia; Mytilida; Mytilidae. The record is from RNAcentral.